Molecule: microRNA precursor, 103 nt
Filed under: Marmota monax (woodchuck)
Lineage: Eukaryota; Metazoa; Chordata; Mammalia; Rodentia; Sciuridae
Source: RNAcentral
AGAGGGACAGCUGGGUCAAAUGGUGGGUCCAUUCCAAGAUUUCCAAGGAAUCUCCAUAUUGCUUUCCAUAUUGGCUGCACCAAUUUUCAGUCCUACCAGCAGU